Long non-coding RNA from Rosa chinensis, 1263 nucleotides. RefSeq lists it as uncharacterized. The transcript has 6 exons. Lineage: Eukaryota; Viridiplantae; Streptophyta; Magnoliopsida; Rosales; Rosaceae. The record is from RefSeq and is a predicted model, not a curated record.
GUUAUAGCAUAGACCAAACCUAGGAGGGUACGAAAGAGCUCAAACACUUGAGGUGGUCAUACAUGUGCUUCCUCAGAUCGAUGCUCAACUUUCUAUCAAUUUUAGCCGUAUUCACCUUGAUUUUUUCAGGAUACAGAUGAUCAUUCAUGGCCACGUGAAUAGCUAAAGGGAUUCUUGGACUUCCAAUUCCAAUACUAGAUGAUCUUCACCACUAAGAUGUGAACCGCACCAGGCUGCUUGUACUGCUCGUAUUGAAGCUGCAUGCAUAAGCAUAUUCAUCAUGGCAUCUGAAUUUGGGAAACUGCAUAAGUACCAACUUGUAGAUUAUAUUAUAACUCGAAGUUCUUGGUUUUCAAGUUGGACUAUUAGCAAGUCUCGUAAAACCUUUUGAUUAAUUACAUGGACCGAGGACGGUCUAGUCAAGAAUAUCAAUCUCUUCCAUUGUCUGGACUUUAUUAGACUUACUGGGAAGCUAUGCAAGGUUAUGACAAUGAGCUGUCAUUGGAGAAGUUAAACUUGGGAUUGUUCCUUUGGUCUAAGUAGGUUAUGCUAGCUUGUGUAUCCUUCUGCUCGUCUAAGUUAUAUCGUCAUUGUUUAUAUAGGUGAUCAUGACUGUCAGGAGCUUAAGAGGUUACAAACAGCACCAGUUAGAGACAUGUUCUUAAAGCAUUGAAAGAAGGCUUGAGGUUACUGAAGGCUGCCAGUUUGAAGACCUUCCUGUUUGGUUAUGAUACUCUUCUUCCUCUAAUGCUGUAACUUGGGUCCCUAUCAAGUACAUUUCAGAAAGAUUGCAAGCACCCUUCUGUGUAUGGAAUUGGGAGGUUCGGCUUCAAAGUUCUGUUGGUUAGACUCCUGAAGAUGAGAUGACCCUCAGAAGAAAAUCGCACCAACGUACAUGUACAGCUCACACUGAAGCUUCAUUUAGAAUGGCCUUGGAGUUGCAAAGCUGAUGGGAUGCUAAUAUGAUAAGCUGUCUAUGUCAUAACCUGAAGUUCUCAGUUCAUGUUGGACUGUUGGAGCAAUGCAUCUGAGGCACCAAUCAGACCUACAUUUGACAAGCUGUGGGGUGGCCAUGAUAGAUCAAAGAAGGGCAAUUUGCUUGUAGACACAAAGCCUGCUUCAUUUACUUUUGUUUCCCCUCGUCACUAGGAGAUUAAUUCCUUUUUGCAGAGGAUUGGGCAAGUACUCAUGCAUCCAAUAUUUGAUUGGGAGCCCAGCCCAGGUCUUCGUUCCCUAUUCCUUUUUGCUGAUACGAAUUUUCCU